Molecule: ribosomal RNA, 452 nt
Filed under: uncultured bacterium
Lineage: Bacteria
Description: bacterial SSU rRNA
Rfam family: Bacterial small subunit ribosomal RNA
Source: RNAcentral
UACGGGAGGCAGCAGUGGGGAAUAUUGCACAAUGGGCGCAAGCCUGAUGCAGCCAUGCCGCGUGUAUGAAGAAGGCCUUCGGGUUGUAAAGUACUUUCAUCGUGAGGAAGGUGUUAAGGUUAAUAACCUUAGCAAUUGACGUUAGCGACAGAAGAAGCACCGGCUAACUCCGUGCCAGCAGCCGCGGUAAUACGGAGGGUGCGAGCGUUAAUCGGAAUUACUGGGCGUAAAGGGCACGCAGGCGGUUAAUUAAGUUGGAUGUGAAAUCCCCGGGCUUAACCUGGGAAUGGCAUUCAAGACUGGUUAGCUAGAGUCUUGUAGAGGGGGUAGAAUUCCAUGUGUAGCGGUGAAAUGCGUAGAGAUGUGGAGGAAUACCGGUGGCGAAGGCGGCCCCUGGACAAAGACUGACGCUCAUGUGCGAAAGCGUGGGGAGCAAACAGGGAUUAGAUACC